This 2614-nucleotide ribosomal RNA is filed under the name Bacillus wiedmannii. Its description in RNAcentral is "23S ribosomal RNA". The record is from RNAcentral. Lineage: Bacteria; Bacillati; Bacillota; Bacilli; Caryophanales; Bacillaceae.
AAAAGUCUAGGAGGGAUGGGCUUGAUUCCGAUUCAAUCAAAUUUAGAAGGACGUACAUAUGCGUUAUAUAAGUUAGAAGAGAUAAUGAAGCCACUUGGGUAUAGCAUUGGUGGCAAUUGGGAUUACAAUAAAGGAUGCUUUGAUUAUAAAAUUGAUGAAGAAGAUGGCUAUCAAUUUCUGCGAGUGCCAUUUACAGCAGUAGAUGGAGAGCUAGAUGUACCUGGUGUAAUAGUCCGUCUUGGAACGCCUUAUAUUCUUUCGCACGUAUAUCAAGACGAACUAGAUGAUCACGUAAAUACUUUAACGGCUGGAACGAGUGGAAUGGAUCAAUUUGCUGAGCCGAAAGAUCCAGAUGGAGAUGUGAAAAGAAAAUAUAUCAAUAUUGGGAAAGUGCUCAUGCAGGAACUAGAAAAACAUUUUCUUAAUGGUGAAUAACAAUGAGUAUGUCGCUUUCAAUGAGAACAAAGGAAUGGACUGGAUUAAUCAUAUAUUGUUCGUCGCGUUUUAUACCUAGUAAGAGAAUAUUUUGCUUUAAAAGAGUAUAGCUACAAUUUGCAAAAGUUUGUCCAGUGCAGGAAGGAUAAAGCUCCAUCAGUUGUAAUUUGUUAUCAGAGAUUUCAUCGUAAAGUGAGAAUAGUACGCCUGAAAUGGAAGGGAAUAAAAGAGAAGCGGUAAAUACGUAGCUCGUUAAUUUAUUUCCUUCUAUAAUUUCUGAUACACCAGCUCUCGUUGCAUUUUGUAUUUGUUCAGAAGUAAGAAGUUCAGCGAUGCAGUGAAUGUUUGGGUUGAGACCUUUUGCAGUUAAAAUAUUUAAAAUGGACUGUGUAUCUGCUAAGCUUUCAUUUUUUUCUUUAUCAGCUGUUAUUAAUAUAGUGUGAGCAGUUGUAAUAUUAGCUUUUAAUAAAGUUUGAUCGUGAUGCGGGCAACCCUUUAUAAAUUCUAAAUGAUGAAAUGGUUUUGGAAGUAAAGAAAGUGUUUCAUCAAUUAACACGAUAUCAAGGUUCGGUUGUAAGAUGUGCAUUUGUUUUACAACAUGUUUUGCCCGUUCGUUCCAGCCGACGAUAAUCAUAUGACCGUUAGAGGUAGCGGCUUCUUCUCCUUUAAUUUUCAUAUAUUGCUUAUUAAUCAUAUCAGUGGCGAACAGAACCAUAUAAUAAGAACAAAAACCGGUUCCAAAUAAAAUAAUCCCCAUACCGAUAAGUUUGCCUAUUAGUGUAUGCGGGGCAAAGUCACCAUAGCCAACGGUGAAAAUGGUAACGAUUGACCACCAAACUCCAUCAAACCAUGUGGUGAAGUGCGAUGGCUCUAAUCUAUGUAUAAGGAAGCCAGAAGAAGCAGUAAGUACAACAAUAAAGCAAACUAAACGAAAAAUAAUGGAAUCACGAAAUGUAUCUACUAAAUUUGGACGGGAUUUCAAACUUUUAUUCCUCCUUACUUUGCAGGACUACAUUCAUUGUUACCAUUAUAGAAAAAAGAAAAACUCUCUAAUUUAAAAGAGAGUUUGUUUUACAUUACAUACUUUCUAAUUCAGUUUGUUGGACACUUUCAAGAUGCUGGAGGGCGUAGUAAACAUCAGCAGUAUGCCUUUUUUGAUCGAUAGAUAAUUUCAAAUGUAAAUAGUGAGAGCCAUUCUCCAAUGUUUUGAGCUUCAUAUUCUUAACUUUUAUAUCCAUUUCUUUUAUUUCUUCAAUUACAAUUGGGAUAUUGUCCAUAUUUCGCACAACAAGUUUUACUGCGAUAUCACGUUGACGAAAUGAUCUCGGUCCUACAAAUUUCAUUGUUAAUGGUAUAAGUUCGACGCUAAUCAUAAGGAAACACAUUCCGAAAAUCGCUUCGAUAUAGAAUCCAGCCCCAACAGCAAUACCAAUACCAGAAGCACCCCAAAUCAUAGCAGCAGUCGUUAGUCCUGCAAUGCUAUCGUUUCCUCUUCGUAAAAUAACACCGGCACCUAAAAAACCGAUUCCUGAUACAAUUUGAGCGGCAAGUCGAAGUGGAUCCAUAUUCAUAUGAUCGGUAUGUGGCAAAUUGUAAGCCGCUUUAAUAGAAACAAUCGUCAGGAGGCAACUAAUAAUAGAAAUAACUAAACAAGUUUUUAAACCAAGUGGUUUCCGUUUUAAUUCGCGCUCUAAACCGAUAGCGAACCCUAAAAUAGCCGAGAGACCUAGUUUGAUUAAUAAAUCGGCAUAGUCCAUAUAUAUUCCUCCUUGUAUGAUACGGUAUAUGAAUAAAACGUUUAUUAUAGAAAGAAACGCUUUUUGAUAGAGUGACUUUAUAUAGAAUAUAUGUAGGAAUUAUUUAUACAUGAAAGAGAUAUUUCGUUUAAGUAUAUGAUAUUAAAAAAGAAAUGUGGGUGGUUUUGAAAAAAGUUUACAAAAGGUGUUGCAUUUCAUUUUUCACCAUGAUAUAUUAAUAACCGUCGCUGAUGCGGAAACGCAGAAAACGACAAAAAAGAAAUUGAAAAACUUAGUUGACAUCGAAAAACGAAGAUGUUAACAUAAGGAAGUCGCAAAUGAGCGACUAAGUAGUUCUUUGAAAACUGAACGAAACAAACAACGUGAAACGUCAAUUUUUAUUUUUAGAUGCUAGACAAACUAACUUUAUUGGAGAGUUUGAU